This 316-nucleotide ribosomal RNA is filed under the name uncultured soil bacterium. RNAcentral describes it as "bacterial SSU rRNA". It matches the Rfam family "Bacterial small subunit ribosomal RNA", at positions 26 to 345 of the family's 1533-position model. The record is from RNAcentral.
AGGACGAACGCUGGCGGCGUGCUUAACACAUGCAAGUCGAGCGGAAAGGCCUUUCGGGGUACUCGAGCGGCGAACGGGUGAGUAACACGUGAGUAAUCUGCCCAUCGCUUCAGGAUAGCCAUCGGAAACGGUGAUUAAUACUGGAUAUGACUAUUCCUUCGCAUGGUUGGGGUGUGGUAAGUUUUUCGGCGGUGAUGUGCUCGCGGCCUAUCAGUCUUGGUUGGUGGGUAAGUGGCCUACCGAAGGUCUUGGACCGGGUAGCCGGUCCGUGGAGGAGGGUCGGACCGGCCACGACGUGGGACGUGACGACGACCGG